UACACAUGGUUAGUGGCUCGAUGGGUUGAUCACCAUCGUGCACUAACAGAUUUAGAACGUUAUAAGGGUGGGUGCUUGACAGGAGGUUAUCCGGAGCACAGUUAAGGUUAUUGAUUCCGACCGGGUGCGUCCCGAGAUCAAUAACAGAUUUUGGAUCUGACUGGGUGCGUCCCGAGAUCAGUGAAUGUGGGGAGAAAGUGAGUAACAAUCGAACGUACAUGGCGCGCCACUUAAUGAAGAAAAGUUUUGUCAUGCUUAGAAGUGGGAUUCCGUUUUAAAACCUUCUAAGUCAUGAUUGUGAUAUUGGAUAAACUGCUUCGAUUACUUCAUAAAAUAUUUCAGAAACUUGUGCCCACUGAGUACAUUAGUACUCAGCCCAAAUUAUUUUCAAAUGUUUUCAGGUUGAUCAGUUGGUGCAGACGAGGCUGAGCUGAGGCUAAGGUUCCACGAUGUCUUUUGCUUCCGCUAAUAACUAUCUUGUCACCUCACCCUCCAUCCCCUAAAUUGAGAAUUUCUAUUAUGUGGUACAAUAUUAUCUUGUUGGGCUUAAACUCUUAUCCUAUAUUUCUAUUAAUAAAGCUAUCUUUGAUUAUGGUCAGAGCCACGAAACUAAACUUAUGUGAUCCUGAGUUUGAAUAUUGUCAUUUGAUUGGCAACUCUUAAGGCCUUUCAAUUUACUUCCUUUCAUUUUAUCUCUUUGGAAUAUGAAUACCCAAUUUAAUGGGUAGAUUGUCAAGUUUAUUCUGGUUGAUUAAGACUUUCCAUUAUUUUUCCUAUUUCCUCUUGCCUUGGGAAGUCGGGUCGUUACAAGUGGUAUCAGAGCACAAGUUUUCUUUCGUGUCUCUGACUACCGUUAGUUUAAUUACUUCGAGUCUGGAAUUUGUACCUCUAGACUCCUAAGCAUUGCUGCAACCCUCAGCUCACCGUCUCACUGCCUGAUCAACAAAGGUACGUUUUCAAAAUUUUCAAAUAAAUUAUUUUGCUUCAAGAAAGUGCGCGCAAAUGAUUAUCUUGUGAAAAACUUGAAUGAUUCCACAUAUGCAAGGAGAUAUUGUUUAUGCAAAGAAAGAAAAGUGAAAUUUCGAAAUGAAACAUACAAGAAAAAUAUCAAAACAGGAUGGAUAUAGAGCACACAUGAUAUAUUUUAAAAAGAACUAAAUCAUAAAGAGUCUCAUUGACUCCACACAAGAAUGUUAGAAAGACAAAAUAUUAAUUCAUUAGUCUUGAUUCUAUGAAUCAUUUAUGAUUAAAGAUAUGUUUUGAUUUUUACUUCUAUGCAUGUUGAGAAAUAUUUCUAGAUGGUAGUGACAUGAUUUGUCGACUUAGAUUAUUUAAAACCUUUUUGACUUGACAAUUAUGAGUAGGUUGACUCAAUAGUCAAUAAAGCUAUGAGCUUAUAAGAGUAUGCUUUACCUCAUAGCGAGAGGUGCACUAGCAAAUGCUAUGACAUGAUUUCAAAUCAUAUGAACUAGACUUUUGUCUAGGGAACUUUAGAAUGAUGAGGAAUAGAACCUUGAAGAACAUAGAAUAUUUUCAGAAUACCUAUGAUGCUUAUAGAACAGAGAAACUUGGUUAGAUCUAGUCUUGCGUUAUUUUUUGUUUGAAUGUCAUUGGUCUUUCUUUUUAGACGGACAAACAAGGCGAGAAGUUCUGCAAGCAUUAGACACCAAUGUACUUGCAAAAACAAUAUGACGAGAAGUUCCAUGACUACAUCAAGAACCUAGAUGAUUUAUUCAAAGAAUUUUGGGAGAUCUUCGUGUUUUGAAUAGAUGCGCGCAAUGGAAGAGUAUUAAAUAUCGAAUCAUCAACGAGGCUCGUGCGGCACCUUUCAAAUGAAUGGAAUAUAGGGACAGCCAACACAUGCCCAAGAAUUGUGAUCAAUGAUUUUUCGCAGCUGACCAAGAGCACCAAGCCAAGGCCAUUGACAUCGUAAGAAGAUCAUAAGAACAAUAUUGAGGAAGUUAUCACAAGAAAUAUAUGAGAAAACAAUUGCCUACAUGCGUUAUUAGAUUAGUGGUGGUACCAGUUGUGUGGAAUCACGUUUCUUUGUACAUAAUCACCAAACCUUUUGAUUGUAAGUCGAACUCGUCUACAUCUAACUCAGACCUUACCUAGAACCUCAAUUCUUUUAAUAAAUACUCAUAUUAUGCUUAUGUAUUCCAAAGAAAUACUUGGAGUAUACUAUUGUGUUAAUUANGGAGAAAGUGAGUAACAAUCGAACGACACAUGGCGCGCCACUUAAUGAGAAAAGUUUUGUCAUGCUUAGAAGCGGAUUUCUAUUUUAAAACCUUCUAAGUUAUGAUUGUGAUAUUGGAUAAACUGUUUCGAUUAUUUCAUAAAAUAUUUCAGAAACUCGUGCCCACUGAGUACAUUAGUACUCAGCCCAAAUCAUUUUCAAAUGUUUUUAGGUUGA
This 2413-nucleotide long non-coding RNA is filed under the name Salvia miltiorrhiza (redroot sage). Its description in RNAcentral is "long non-coding RNA (SMIL_LNC007141)". Lineage: Eukaryota; Viridiplantae; Streptophyta; Magnoliopsida; Lamiales; Lamiaceae. The record is from RNAcentral.